UAGAUCUGAGACAUAAGGCGCU
This 22-nucleotide non-coding RNA is filed under the name Arabidopsis thaliana (thale cress). The record is from RNAcentral. Lineage: Eukaryota; Viridiplantae; Streptophyta; Magnoliopsida; Brassicales; Brassicaceae.